Molecule: ribosomal RNA, 109 nt
Filed under: Seriola lalandi dorsalis
Lineage: Eukaryota; Metazoa; Chordata; Actinopteri; Carangiformes; Carangidae
Source: RNAcentral
GCUUACGGCCAUACCACUCUGAACACGCCCGAUCUCGGAAGCUAAGCAGGGUCGGGCCUGGUUAGUACUUGGAUGGGAGACCGCCUGGGAAUACCAGGUGCUGUAAGCA